RNAcentral lists this ribosomal RNA (278 nucleotides) under uncultured bacterium. Its description in RNAcentral is "partial 16S ribosomal RNA". It matches the Rfam family "Bacterial small subunit ribosomal RNA", at positions 29 to 334 of the family's 1533-position model. The record is from RNAcentral.
AACGAACGCUGGCGGCAUGCCUAACACAUGCAAGUCGAACGAGACCUUCGGGUCUAGUGGCGCACGGGUGCGUAACGCGUGGGAAUCUGCCCUUGGGUUCGGAAUAACUCGCCGAAAGGCGUGCUAAUACCGGAUGAUGUCGUAAGACCAAAGAUUUAUCGCCCAGGGAUGAGCCCGCGUAAGAUUAGGUAGUUGGUGAGGUGAAGGCUCACCAAGCCGACGAUCUUUAGCUGGUCUGAGAGGAUGAUCAGCCACACUGGGACUGAGACACGGCCCAG